UCUCUGGUAGUAUAUCGGAUAGUACACCCGCCUGUCAUGUACUGCUUAUGUCAGCAGCAUAACGCGGGAGAGCGGGGUUCGACUCCCCGCCAGAGAG
This is a non-coding RNA of Gloeophyllum trabeum ATCC 11539, 97 nucleotides long. The record is from the annotation of a RefSeq genome assembly. NCBI's taxonomy places the organism in Eukaryota, Fungi, Basidiomycota, Agaricomycetes, Gloeophyllales, Gloeophyllaceae.